Molecule: ribosomal RNA, 509 nt
Filed under: uncultured bacterium
Lineage: Bacteria
Description: bacterial SSU rRNA
Rfam family: Bacterial small subunit ribosomal RNA
Source: RNAcentral
AUUGAACGCUGGCGGCAGGCCUAACACAUGCAAGUCGAGCGGCAGCGGAAAGUAGCUUGCUACUUUGCCGGCGAGCGGCGGACGGGUGAGUAAUGUCUGGGAAACUGCCUGAUGGAGGGGGAUAACUACUGGAAACGGUAGCUAAUACCGCAUGACCUCGAAAGAGCAAAGUGGGGGAUCUUCGGACCUCACGCCAUCGGAUGUGCCCAGAUGGGAUUAGCUAGUAGGUGAGGUAAUGGCUCACCUAGGCGACGAUCCCUAGCUGGUCUGAGAGGAUGACCAGCCACACUGGAACUGAGACACGGUCCAGACUCCUACGGGAGGCAGCAGUGGGGAAUAUUGCACAAUGGGCGCAAGCCUGAUGCAGCCAUGCCGCGUGUGUGAAGAAGGCCUUAGGGUUGUAAAGCACUUUCAGCGAGGAGGAAGGCAUCAUACUUAAUACGUGUGGUGAUUGACGUUACUCGCAGAAGAAGCACCGGCUAACUCCGUGCCAGCCGCCGCGGUAAAAC